Molecule: long non-coding RNA, 3044 nt
Organism: Helianthus annuus (common sunflower)
Lineage: Eukaryota; Viridiplantae; Streptophyta; Magnoliopsida; Asterales; Asteraceae
Exons: 8
Source: RefSeq, a predicted model, not a curated record
ACACUUCAACAUGACUACAAUUUCAACAAUUGUAUGUUAUAAUUUUCUUUCUACAAUUAUCUUAACUUGAAUCUUGAAUCUUGAAUUGGAAUUUGAGUUUGAUUCUUUAUGAGUUUUUUUUUUCACAUAUCUUUACUAAUCAUGAUGUGUUGUUCCUGUUGUGUUAUCAUAUGGGUUUGAGUUGAUGAUUCAUAUCUUUAGUUGGGUUGGAUGAAAGUUAUUGUUUUGAUCGGAAUAUUGGGGUGUUUGGUUUGCAAAUCUUGAAAAGGGGGAGUGCCAAUCUGGUAGUGAUUAUUGGUUUUUAUUGUGUUUUUGUUUUGUGGGUAUUAAAGAUAGUGAUAACUGUGUGCUUAAGUUGGAAUUUUAUUUGUUGUUCUUUGUAUCUUGCGUUCAUGGGAGGUCGAUCAGGUACAGAAGGAAGAACAGUUGAACAACAAGUUCUAGAGUCAAAUCCAGUUCUGGAAGCCUUUGGGAAUGCGAAAACGGUGAAGAACAACAAUUUCACAUUAAAAUCGUUAUGGUAAAUUUGUAGAGAUCCAAUUCGACAAGCAAGGGAAGAUAUCCAGAGCCGCGGUUAGAACUUACCUUCUAGAGAGAUUACGAGUUUGCCAGUGUCAGAUCCUGAAAAGAACUACCAUUGUUUUUACAUGCUCUGUGCAGCACCCCCCGAGGAUGUCAAGAGGUUCAAAUUAGGAGACCCGAGAACGUUUCAUUAUUUGAAUCAGACUAAUUGCUAUGAAGUAGCGAAUAUAGACGAUGGAAGAGAGUAUUUGGAAACACUUAGUUUAUCUGUCACUUACUUUAACCUCGAGUUCCCGAAAAAUCAUCUCUAUCAGUAACACAUGUAACACCUAUUAUUUGCAAGUCUUGUGGAGUUGAGGUAUCGACAUUUAUUAGCGAAGAAUCGUCCGAUGUGUCAUCAGAUGGGGUGUUUCUGGGUGCAAAGAGGGAUAGUGUGUCUCAUGGUGGAGUGGACGUUGACUGAGAGUGGCGUGGGCCCAAGCGUAGGAAGGAUAUUUUAUGGGUUGAUAAAGGUAAAAAGGAAAAUAAUUUCUCUGGUUCCAUGUAUUCCCAUUUGAAGGUUUCACUUGGAGAUGUUUGUAGCUUGGAUGACUUGAGAGAAAGAAUGGUGGUUUACUUGAGCCAAAGUAACUGCCAUGAGAUUCUUGAUGCUAUGACUCAUGUUACAAAGAAUAUUGAUGAAGGAAGACUUAAAAUGAAGGCCCACUGUCCAAUGGUUACUGAUGUUGGAAUGAAGGAGAAUGCCUUGAAGAUUCUAAUGGGUUAUGUGGUAUUUUAAAUUUAGCGAUUUUGAUAGUAAUACCGGUGACACCAAUAACGACCACUAUCUCCGUACCUUACCAACGACAACCUCCGUUACUGCCGACAAGCUCUAUCAAGCACCACCGUAAUGUCGUAAUGUCGACAAGCUCAAGCUCAAGCUCCGAUCAGUUUUGUUUUAUUAUUUAGAAAAUGAAUAGUGUAAUUUUACGUAGAAUCUAUUUUUGAUAUGAGAUUUGAAUGAGAAGUUAUGUAAUCUUCAAAUUUAUUAGUUCCGACAAGUUAUUAGCGGAUAUGAGAAUCCUUUGUUUGAGUUUUUGAUAUACAGAUUCUUAGUUCGACAAGUUAUGUAAUUUGGAAAUGGCUUGUGUAAUCUCCGGGGAUCUUCCCUGCAAAUUCUCCGGCAAGACUCAAGAGCAUUAGCGGCGACGCGUGUAUUAGCAUCGACAUUUUGAUCAAUAGCCGACAAGAAUUAGCGGCAUCAUCUUUAGCAAAGUCGGGAUACGAGACAUUGACGCUCGCCAACUAAAGUAGUUUAUUUUUCAAUAGGGCCACUGUUAAAAUAUGCAUCUACAUUUUACAAUUCUAUUGUUAUAAGUUGAUACUUAAUACUUGUUCUCUAUUUUCUCAUGUUACUGGAUAUGUUGGAGCACAAUUCGACUUAUUUGUGGACUAUUCGGCUGCUUGCAUUAUUGGGCUUACUUGGACUGAAGACAGAAGAUAGAAGACAGAAAGCCUGGGAUGCAUAACCUUUCAGUUUCAGAACACUAACAUCUAAUGUUUUAGUUGCAGGGAAUGAAAAAGUGGUGUUUUUGCAGUCUACCUACGUGUUUAAUCAUCGAGUGGGUUAUUGCUACAAUUCAUGGAUUCUGGAUAAAAACUUAAGUGGCAAGAUCGACAGGCCAGACAGGUCGAGUAAAGGGUCAUAGUUAAGUGCAGAAAAUGGUGGAGUCGGUUUGUAAUUCAUCUUGGUUUCAAUUAUUUUACCUGAUAUUAUAUGCGGUUUAUUAUUUCUUUUUUCUUUUUUUUUUUUUUUGGUUUUAAAUUAGGUGAAGGAAAUGGUGGAGCGGUGUUGGGUCGAUUAAGGCGCAAGUGGUUGGUUCCGAUGACCGUUGAUUCAUAUAUCUGGUUGUAGGUCAAGUUAUGGAUAGAUAUGGUGAUUGAUAGUUGAUGUUUCUGUUGAAAUGGGCGUUUUUCGGCGAAUGGUGAGAUCAGUAGGUUCAAAGUGACUAUGGUGAGGGUUUCGGGUGAUCAACCAACAUUUUAGUGAAAAAGAUUUAACUCGGGUCAGCGGACGGUCAUCAGGAAUGUAUAAAUGUACACUCAAGUCGUUUAGAUAAUUUAAUAUAAUUAUCAUCAACCUCUGUUCAAUGAGGUGCAUUAAGGUUGUACACUGUUGAAGCCGAGAGAAAAGGGAAAGGCUAUAGCUGAUACGGGCGUUAUUCAGACUGAAGCUGCAGCAAAGAGGGAACUAGCGCUUGAUGGGUCGGAUAUAAAAUGGAGUAAUAAUGACAUGGGGAUGGGGCGAAAACGGUUAGCUUGGUUUAGGAGAUACAUGUGAUCACACUUGUCCUCAGGAUUCAGUUCAUGCAUUAAAGAAUGAACACGGUUCUUAAACAGAGACCAUCUUAAACCGAUGAUUUCUCUUUCUUUUGAUCGAGUUUCUAGGGGAAAUCUAUUAUCUAUCUGUUACCGACUGGAUGAGAUGUGGGUUUGACUUGAAUAAAACUCUAUAUAUGUUAUUGUUUAUGAUUGACUUUUAU